RNAcentral lists this transfer RNA (76 nucleotides) under Hydrogenobacter sp. Its description in RNAcentral is "tRNA-Asn". It matches the Rfam family "tRNA". Rfam says of the family: Transfer RNA (tRNA) molecules are approximately 80 nucleotides in length. Their secondary structure includes four short double-helical elements and three loops (D, anti-codon, and T loops). RNAcentral also lists the same sequence under 1 other name. Lineage: Bacteria; Pseudomonadati; Aquificota; Aquificia; Aquificales; Aquificaceae. The record is from RNAcentral.
UCCGGGGUAGCUCAACUGGCAGAGCGGGUGGCUGUUAACCACCUGGUUGGGGGUUCGAGUCCCUCCCCCGGAGCCA